CCUACGGGAGGCAGCAGUGGGGAAUAUUGCACAAUGGGGGAAACCCUGAUGCAGCGACGCCGCGUGAGUGAAGAAGUAUUUCGGUAUGUAAAGCUCUAUCAGCAGGGAAGAAGAAAGACGGUACCUGACCAAGAAGCCCCGGCUAACUACGUGCCAGCAGCCGCGGUAAGACGGGGGUGGCAAGCGUUAUCCGGAUUUACUGGGUGGAAAGGGAGCGUAGACGGCUGUGCAAGUCUGGAGUGAAAGCCCAGGGCGCAACCCUGGGACUGCUUUGGAAACGGUGGGGCUAGAGUGCUGGAGAGGUAAGUGGAAUUCCUGGUGUAGCGGUGAAAUGCGUAGAUAUUAGGAGGAACACCAGUGGCGAAGGCGGCUUACUGGACAGUAACUGACGUUGAGGCUCGAAAGCGUGGGGAGCAAACAGGAUUAGAUACCCCGGUAGUC
Molecule: ribosomal RNA, 441 nt
Filed under: uncultured bacterium
Lineage: Bacteria
Description: partial 16S ribosomal RNA
Rfam family: Bacterial small subunit ribosomal RNA
Source: RNAcentral